Molecule: ribosomal RNA, 265 nt
Filed under: uncultured bacterium
Lineage: Bacteria
Description: partial 16S ribosomal RNA
Rfam family: Bacterial small subunit ribosomal RNA
Source: RNAcentral
GUCUUCGCUGUAAACGGUGCUCACUAGCUGUGAGCGGUGUCAAAUCCGCUCGUGGCGUAGUUAACACAUUAAGUGAGCCGCCUGGGAAGUACGGCCGCAAGGCUAAAACUCAAAGAAUUGACGGGGCCUGCACAAGCGGUGGAGUAUGUGGCUUAAUUCGAUGCAACGCGAAGAACCUUACCUAGUCUUGACAUUUGGAUAUUAACCGUCAGAAAUGACAGUGAGGUAGCAAUACCAGUCCAAACAGGUGCUGCAUGGCUGUCGU